This 492-nucleotide ribosomal RNA is filed under the name uncultured bacterium. RNAcentral's name for it is "partial 16S ribosomal RNA". It matches the Rfam family "Bacterial small subunit ribosomal RNA", at positions 29 to 507 of the family's 1533-position model. The record is from RNAcentral.
AGUGAACGCUGGCGGUAGGCCUAACACAUGCAAGUCGAACGGCAGCACAGUAAGAGCUUGCUCUUACGGGUGGCGAGUGGCGGACGGGUGAGGAAUACAUCGGAAUCUACUUUUUCGUGGGGGAUAACGUAGGGAAACUUACGCUAAUACCGCAUACGACCUACGGGUGAAAGCAGGGGAUCUUCGGACCUUGCGCGAUUGAAUGAGCCGAUGUCGGAUUAGCUAGUUGGCGGGGUAAAGGCCCACCAAGGCGACGAUCCGUAGCUGGUCUGAGAGGAUGAUCAGCCACACUGGAACUGAGACACGGUCCAGACUCCUACGGGAGGCAGCAGUGGGGAAUAUUGGACAAUGGGCGCAAGCAUGAUCCAGCCAUACCGCGUGGGUGAAGAAGGCCUUCGGGUUGUAAAGCCCUUUUGUUGGGAAGGAAAAGCAGCAGGUUAAUACCCCGCUGUUCUGACGGUACCCAAAGAAUAAGCACCGGCUAACUUCGUG